Molecule: long non-coding RNA, 416 nt
Filed under: Equus caballus (horse)
Lineage: Eukaryota; Metazoa; Chordata; Mammalia; Perissodactyla; Equidae
Description: lncRNA (ENSECAG00000052906.1)
Source: RNAcentral
CUCUUUUAUUUAGAGAAUAGUGUGGAAUAGCAUGGGGACAGGACCCAUGGGCAGUCAGAGCUUCUGCUGCCGCCGCUUCUGCUGCCCCCGCUGGCAUGGGGACAGGAUCCAUGGGCAGGCAGAGCUGAUGCGUGGGGACAGGACCCAUGGGCAGUCAGAGCUCCUGCUGCUGCCCUGAGUUGAGGGUUAGGGCUAAUUUUAUAAGGCAUGGGUAUAUGAUUCAUCUCUUUACAAGACAAAGGAAAGAACAUGAAAAAAAGUUAAAAUGGUAUCAGUGCGGGUGGGGUCUGGUCAUUGGGUGAUCCCAUGACUUUUAGACAAGAAUCAAAUCGGAUUAAGUAAAGGUUAGAAAGGUUAGACGCCGCCACCCUAAACCAGUUACAUGAGAUUGCCAGACAGCAACCAACAGAGGUUCU